AUAACACCCGGAGCCGUCUCCGCCCCGUGCUGCACCUCCCAGGCUCCGGUAUAAAUGCUGGUGCAGGACCAGGUGCUAUUAUACUAGUGACACCAGACAUGAAGCUCGCUGUUGUCUCCCUGGGGCUGGUCCUGCUGGCAGCGGUGGCUGCAGGGAAGAAACCAGGAAAGUGUCCGGUGAUCCCUACGUUAGUAAAAUGUGAAAAGGACCCGAAUCCCGGGUGUGGGUGACUCGGACUGUGACGGCAUCCAGAAGUGCUGUAACUACGCCUGCCACAUAAAAUGCGUGGACCCUGCCGGUACGAAACCGGGCAAGUGUCCGGUGAUCCCUACGUUUGCACCGUGUGGAAAGGAUCCCAAUCCGGAGUGUGGAAGUGACUCGAACUGUGGCAGCUUCCUGAAGUGCUGUAACUACGCCUGCCACAUAAAAUGCGUGGAACCUGUCGGGAAGAAACCAGGCGAGUGUCCGGUGGUCAAUACGUUUGCACCGUGUGGAGAUAGCACUAUAACGGACUGUACCAGCGACUGGGCGUGUGACGGCAGCCAGAAGUGCUGUGACACCGGCUGCCACAUACAAUGCGCGGAUCCUGUCGCUAAGUCCUGAUGUCUCAGCAAGGGACAGAAGAGGCCGCAGCAUGAACCCACUGUGACGGCAGAGCUGCUGCAGAACCUCCUACCUACCUUUCUCACAGCAAUUACAGGAUCAUUCACUUCAUGCAGAAGAACGUUUCUUUGUCCUGUCUCCUAUGAAUGGAGAUACAUUGCAUCACUGUCAUACACAUAACAUAAUAAACUAUGAGAUCGCACACCU
Long non-coding RNA from Pseudophryne corroboree (corroboree frog), 810 nucleotides. RefSeq lists it as uncharacterized. The transcript has 5 exons. NCBI's taxonomy places the organism in Eukaryota, Metazoa, Chordata, Amphibia, Anura, Myobatrachidae. The record is from RefSeq and is a predicted model, not a curated record.